GAUGAACGCUGGCGGCGUGCCUAAUACAUGCAAGUCGAGCGAACGGACGAGAAGCUUGCUUCUCUGAUGUUAGCGGCGGACGGGUGAGUAACACGUGGAUAACCUACCUAUAAGACUGGGAUCACUUCGGGAAACCGUAGCUAAUACCGGAUAAUAUUUUGAACCGCAUGGUUCAAAAGUGAAAGACGGUCUUGCUGUCACUUAUAGAUGGAUCCGCGCUGCAUUAGCUAGUUGGUAAGGUAACGGCUUACCAAGGCAACGAUGCAUAGCCGACCUGAGAGGGUGAUCGGCCACACUGGAACUGAGACACGGUCCAGACUCCUACGGGAGGCAGCAGUAGGGAAUCUUCCGCAAUGGGCGAAAGCCUGACGGAGCAACGCCGCGUGAGUGAUGAAGGUCUUCGGAUCGUAAAACUCUGUUAUUAGGGAAGAACAGAUGUGUAAGUAACUGUGCACAUCUUGACGGUACCUAAUCAGAAAGCCACGGCUAACUACGUG
This 497-nucleotide ribosomal RNA is filed under the name uncultured bacterium. RNAcentral's name for it is "partial 16S ribosomal RNA". It matches the Rfam family "Bacterial small subunit ribosomal RNA", at positions 28 to 507 of the family's 1533-position model. The record is from RNAcentral.